Molecule: ribosomal RNA, 478 nt
Filed under: uncultured bacterium
Lineage: Bacteria
Description: partial 16S ribosomal RNA
Rfam family: Bacterial small subunit ribosomal RNA
Source: RNAcentral
GAUGAACGCUGGCGGCGUGCUUAACACAUGCAAGUCGAACGAGAAGUGAAGACGGAAACCUUCGGGCGGAAGGCUUUAUUUCGAGUGGCGGACGGGUGAGUAACGCGUGGGUAACCUGCCUCAUACAGGGGGAUAACAGUUGGAAACGACUGUUAAUACCGCAUAAGACCACAGCACCGCAUGGUGCGGGGGUAAAAACUCCGGUGGUAUGAGAUGGACCCGCGUUCGAUUAGCCAGUUGGCGGGGUAACGGCCCACCAAAGCGACGAUCGAUAGCCGAUCUGAGAGGAGGACCGGCCACAUUGGGACUGAGACACGGCCCAAAAUCCUACGGGAAGCAGCAGUGGGGAAUAUUGCACAAUGGGGGAAACCCUGAUGCAGCGACGCCGCGUGAGUGAAGAAGUAUUUCGGUAUGUAAAGCUCUAUCAGCAGGGAAGAAAAUGACGGUACCUGAGUAAGAAGCCCCGGCUAACUACGUG